This 427-nucleotide ribosomal RNA is filed under the name uncultured bacterium. Its description in RNAcentral is "partial 16S ribosomal RNA". It matches the Rfam family "Bacterial small subunit ribosomal RNA", at positions 355 to 774 of the family's 1533-position model. The record is from RNAcentral.
UGGGGAAUAUUGCACAAUGGGCGCAAGCCUGAUGCAGCCAUGCCGCGUGUGUGAAGAAGGCCUUCGGGUUGUAAAGCACUUUCAGCGAGGAGGAAGGUGGUGAGCUUAAUACGCUUAUCAAUUGACGUUACUCGCAGAAGAAGCACCGGCUAACUCCGUGCCAGCAGCCGCGGUAAUACGGAGGGUGCAAGCGUUAAUCGGAAUUACUGGGCGUAAAGCGCACGCAGGCGGUUUGUUAAGUCAGAUGUGAAAUCCCCGGGCUCAACCUGGGAACUGCAUUUGAAACUGGCAAGCUAGAGUCUCGUAGAGGGGGGUAGAAUUCCAGGUGUAGCGGUGAAAUGCGUAGAGAUCUGGAGGAAUACUGGUGGCGAAGGCGGCCCCCUGGACGAAGACUGACGCUCAGGUGCGAAAGCGUGGGGAGCAAACA